This 253-nucleotide ribosomal RNA is filed under the name uncultured bacterium. RNAcentral describes it as "partial 16S ribosomal RNA". It matches the Rfam family "Bacterial small subunit ribosomal RNA", at positions 524 to 776 of the family's 1533-position model. The record is from RNAcentral.
UACGUAGGGUGCAAGCGUUAAUCGGAAUUACUGGGCGUAAAGCGUGCGCAGGCGGUUUUGUAAGACUGGCGUGAAAUCCCCGGGCUUAACCUGGGAAUGGCGAUGGUGACUGCAAGGCUAGAGUUUGGCAGAGGGGGGUAGAAUUCCACGUGUAGCAGUGAAAUGCGUAGAUAUGUGGAGGAACACCGAUGGCGAAGGCAGCCCCCUGGGUCAAAACUGACGCUCAUGCACGAAAGCGUGGGGAGCAAACAGG